AACUCUGGUAUUGAUUGGUGCUUGCAUCAUGAUUUACAUUUGAGUGAGUGGCGAACUGGUGAGUAACACGUGGGAAACCUGCCCAGAAGCGGGGGAUAACACCUGGAAACAGAUGCUAAUACCGCAUAACAACUUGGACCGCAUGGUCCGAGUUUGAAAGAUGGCUUCGGCUAUCACUUUUGGAUGGUCCCGCGGCGUAUUAGCUAGAUGGUGAGGUAACGGCUCACCAUGGCAAUGAUACGUAGCCGACCUGAGAGGGUAAUCGGCCACAUUGGGACUGAGACACGGCCCAAACUCCUACGGGAGGCAGCAGUAGGGAAUCUUCCACAAUGGACGAAAGUCUGAUGGAGCAACGCCGCGUGAGUGAAGAAGGGUUUCGGCUCGUAAAACUCUGUUGUUAAAGAAGAACAUAUCUGAGAGUAACUGUUCAGGUAUUGACGGUAUUUAACCAGAAAGCCACGGCUAACUACGUGCCAGCAGCCGCGGUAAUACGUAGGUGGCAAGCGUUGUCCGGAUUUAUUGGGCGUAAAGCGAGCGCAGGCGGUUUUUUAAGUCUGAUGUGAAAGCCUUCGGCUCAACCGAAGAAGUGCAUCGGAAACUGGGAAACUUGAGUGCAGAAGAGGACAGUGGAACUCCAUGUGUAGCGGUGAAAUGCGUAGAUAUAUGGAAGAACACCAGUGGCGAAGGCGGCUGUCUGGUCUGUAACUGACGCUGAGGCUCGAAAGUAUGGGUAGCAAACAGGAUUAGAUACCCUGGUAGUCCAUACCGUAAACGAUGAAUGCUAAGUGUUGGAGGGUUUCCGCCCUUCAGUGCUGCAGCUAACGCAUUAAGCAUUCCGCCUGGGGAGUACGGCCGCAGGCUGAACUCCAAGGAAUUGACGGGGGCCC
Molecule: ribosomal RNA, 887 nt
Filed under: Lactiplantibacillus plantarum
Lineage: Bacteria; Bacillati; Bacillota; Bacilli; Lactobacillales; Lactobacillaceae
Description: bacterial SSU rRNA
Rfam family: Bacterial small subunit ribosomal RNA
Source: RNAcentral